AUGGUGGUUAUAUCGUGCAUGCAUCAGCUAAGUGGAGCGGUGAUGGUGUUGGUAGAUAGUGAUGAAGUUGAUUGUGUUCGAUGCAUAAAGGAAUAAAUAAUAAAGAAACAAGAACACAACCGAGCACAUAGAUCAAAAGUCUACAGCAACAAAGAAAAGCAAGCAAGCAGGUAACCAGGCAAAUUAAUUAAACAAUCAGACAGACAGACAGGUAGAUGAAGCUAUUCGACGGUUCACAUCCUUGUUUGUUCUAGCUUUUGAUAACUCGAGAAUUACAUUCAGAUUGAUUUCAGGUUAGCUGGAUGCACGAUGACCUCUUGGAUGUUGCAUGAAGCUAUCCAGUAUAUGAAGUUGGCAUUUCUAGUUGAAGACGAUGCUUUAAGAAAUAAAUUUUA
This 395-nucleotide long non-coding RNA is filed under the name Helianthus annuus (common sunflower). RNAcentral describes it as "sRNA HanXRQr2_Chr05g0229501". The record is from RNAcentral. Lineage: Eukaryota; Viridiplantae; Streptophyta; Magnoliopsida; Asterales; Asteraceae.